Molecule: ribosomal RNA, 496 nt
Filed under: uncultured bacterium
Lineage: Bacteria
Description: partial 16S ribosomal RNA
Rfam family: Bacterial small subunit ribosomal RNA
Source: RNAcentral
GAUGAACGCUGGCGGCGUGCCUAAUACAUGCAAGUCGAGCGAACGGACGAGAAGCUUGCUUCUCUGAUGUUAGCGGCGGACGGGUGAGUAACACGUGGAUAACCUACCUAUAAGACUGGGAUAACUUCGGGAAACCGGAGCUAAUACCGGAUGAUAUUUUGAACCGCAUGGUUCAAAAGUGAAAGACGGUCUUGCUGUCACUUAUAGAUGGAUCCGCGCUGCAUUAGCUAGUUGGUAAGGUAACGGCUUACCAAGGCAACGAUGCAUAGCCGACCUGAGAGGGUGAUCGGCCACACUGGAACUGAGACACGGUCCAGACUCCUACGGGAGGCAGCAGUAGGGAAUCUUCCGCAAUGGGCGAAAGCCUGACGGAGCAACGCCGCGUGAGUGAUGAAGGUCUUCGGAUCGUAAAACUCUGUUAUUAGGGAAGAACAUAUGUGUAAGUAACUGUGCACAUCUUGACGGUACCUAAGCAGAAAGCCACGGCUAACUACGG